This 253-nucleotide ribosomal RNA is filed under the name uncultured bacterium. RNAcentral's name for it is "partial 16S ribosomal RNA". It matches the Rfam family "Bacterial small subunit ribosomal RNA", at positions 524 to 776 of the family's 1533-position model. The record is from RNAcentral.
UACGUAGGUGGCAAGCGUUGUCCGGAAUUAUUGGGCGUAAAGAGCUCGUAGGCGGUUUGUCGCGUCUGCUGUGAAAGCCCGGGGCUCAACCCCGGGUGUGCAGUGGGUACGGGCAGGCUGGAGUGCGGUAGGGGAGAUUGGAAUUCCUGGUGUAGCGGUGGAAUGCGCAGAUAUCAGGAGGAACACCGAUGGCGAAGGCAGAUCUCUGGGCCGUAACUGACGCUGAGGAGCGAAAGCAUGGGGAGCGAACAGG